This 97-nucleotide signal recognition particle RNA is filed under the name Spirulinaceae cyanobacterium RM2_2_10. RNAcentral's name for it is "signal recognition particle sRNA small type". It matches the Rfam family "Bacterial small signal recognition particle RNA". Rfam says of the family: The signal recognition particle (SRP) is a universally conserved ribonucleoprotein involved in the co-translational targeting of proteins to membranes. The record is from RNAcentral. RNAcentral also lists the same sequence under 1 other name. Lineage: Bacteria; Bacillati; Cyanobacteriota; Cyanophyceae; Spirulinales; Spirulinaceae.
GAUCCGGACUCGCGCGAUCACAACGCCUAAACCUUGUCAGAACCGGAAGGUAGCAGCAACACGGGAUGCUUGUGGUAGGCGCGAACUCCGGGUCUUC